GACGUAGGGGACGAGCGUUGUCCGGAUUCAUUGGGCGUAAAGCGUGCGUAGGUGGUGAGUUAAGUCUGUCGUGAAAGCCCCGGGCUCAACCUGGGAAUGGCGAUGGAUACUGGCUCGCUAGAGUGCGGUAGAGGAGAGUGGAAUUCCCGGUGUAGCAGUGAAAUGCGUAGAGAUUGGGAGGAACAUCAGUUGCGAAGGCGGCUCUCUGGACCAGCACUGACACUGAGGCACGAAAGCGUGGGGAGCAAACAGG
Molecule: ribosomal RNA, 253 nt
Filed under: uncultured bacterium
Lineage: Bacteria
Description: partial 16S ribosomal RNA
Rfam family: Bacterial small subunit ribosomal RNA
Source: RNAcentral